GUAGAAGCAGUGGGGCAGGUGGGAGGCAUGGUGGAUUCCAUGAAGCGGGCGAUCAAUUUAUAGUUAGAGGAGGGGGCCGGGUGCAGAGCACCCCCUCCCCCACCCCCACGCGGAAUCCGCGGCGCCUGCGGUCCUGGGUUGGGAUGUGCGCAGCAGGCGAGUCGGGAGCACCAUCCCCUGAGCGCAACCUGGUGGGCCCCCUGGGGCCGCCCCUUUGGCGCCCGCUAGUGCGGGAGGGGCUAUGCUCCCGGAGGUACGUGGCGCCCCUGCCACCCUGAGAGCUAUUUUCUAUUCCCAGGUGGUCGCGUUAUCCUCAUCCCCCGCCCUGCACCUUCGUCAUCAGCUUUGCCUCUCCCGUGUCCGUGUGUAGCUCCAUCCUCGUGCUCGCCUUCUUCAUUGGCGGAAGCUGGGAGCCGAGAGAGUGAGCCGUGCGCAGAUGUGCGGCGGUGGAGGUGGCUUUUGUUUCUCCUCCGCGCCCCCUCCCCCCCCGCCCCGCACAUUGCCUGUCGCUCUUCCCACCUAGGACCCUCAAACUGGUUCCCCCUGUACACAGAACCUGGCGACCACGGAUCAUCCCCUCUCUCUUCCUUCGAUGCGAUCAUAUAACAUUUAGAUUUUGCCAGGCCCCUUUAAAUCAUUGCUUCUUUGAACCCUCCCAACAAUCCUAAAGGGAAAUACUGUUUAUGAACCCGUUUUACUAAUCUGACAAUUAUAGCAUAAAGUUUAAGUAACUUGCUCAACAUCACGGAAUGGAAAAGUUGUCACUGAUUUGAAUCCAGCCAGCCUCUCAAGAGAAAGUGUCGAUGAUCAAGCCUUCCUUUGGCCCAGGUUACAUGAAGGUCAAAUGACAUGAAGAAUGGGAAAGGAUUUUAUGAGUGUUCAAAUGUUGGGGGAGCGUCUUAUCACAGAGGACUUUCUGCAGGAGGACAUCCACACUCCUCCUGUCACUGGAUCAGCCAGGUUUAGGUCUGGGAUGGAUAGAAAAUGAAAACUGUCCCUUCACCGUGGAGUUUGAGAAGCCCCGUGGAGGAUUCAAGUAAUUUAGGCAUUGGAAUCCACCUCCUGUGGUCACUUUCAAGCCUAAAAUCCGCGGAGGAUCUGAACUUGGGCAGGGAAACCUGAGAAUAAACAUGAGGAAUGGAGAAGUCUCUGUACCACGUUUAAUGAGUGGAGCUGAUCGCGUAUGUCCCCAUCCCCAUAUCAUCCAGCACAGUGCAGGUGCCUUUUACAG
This 1231-nucleotide long non-coding RNA is filed under the name Homo sapiens (human). RNAcentral's name for it is "HSALNT0231726". The record is from RNAcentral. Lineage: Eukaryota; Metazoa; Chordata; Mammalia; Primates; Hominidae.